Long non-coding RNA from Carassius auratus (goldfish), 2968 nucleotides. RefSeq lists it as uncharacterized. The transcript has 5 exons. NCBI's taxonomy places the organism in Eukaryota, Metazoa, Chordata, Actinopteri, Cypriniformes, Cyprinidae. The record is from RefSeq and is a predicted model, not a curated record.
UCGGGCCACCACAAUGGUGCACAAAUUAGUGGACCUUUCCCACUUUAUUAAUUGGGUGAAGGAGGCAGGCCCCGAUGGGCUGAGAGUGUCCAAGAAAGCCGUUAAACGGGCUCUUCUUAUAAUAAAAAUGUGCUCAAAAGAGGAGCUGAAAAACAGGCAGGCCUGGCAGCAGGAGGUCCACUUAUCGAAAUCUGGUGAGAUCUUUAGCAGAUAGCCAAACCCACUGUCCUGGAGUGAAGAUGGGUCCUGCCCUUCGACAGUGAUCAGCCUGUUCCUCUACUCCGUGGACUGCUCGAUGAAGGUCUCCUCACUUCUAUACCGUGGCCGGGAAGUGCAAGACAACAUUACAAAGUGUGAAACACUUUUACAAAGCUCGAGACAAAAUUUACAUUUUGGAAAACAUUUUUACCAAUCAUUAAACACAAUUACACGGGGAAAACACUUUUACCAAGGAAGAAACAAAUUUACAUUUUAGAAAACAAAUUAACAAGACACAAAACACUUUUACCAGUCCCGAAACAAAUUUACAAUGACAGAUUCUUCACGGAAAGGGAAUGUACCACACAUCGGAAGUGACGUGGUGAAAGGUGUUGUUGUUUUUGGUGAGUGCGUUAAAUUCGUAUUGUGGAAUAAAUGACUUAAAUAAAGUUUAUGGUGACCGAGCAUGGACUGCGACCGAGGGAUGUUUUGCCUGUUUUGUGGCAAACACAUGAGCAGCUUAACUCGGUUUUGCUUUGCGUGUGGUCGGUGUUUGGAGUUCCUAAAGGACUUCACCAUCUGCGGUGUGCUUAAUCAAACUACCUCUUUUUUAUAUCGGAAAACCUUUUGGAUCCAGCUGCCCAUGCUGAGUUUGUGAGGGCCACUUCGGAGGUGCUUCCCAAAAUACUGCAAAAACUGCAUCAUGAUCAGAGGCAGCUGGACCUGUUCUUUGGUCUCCUCGGUGGGGUCAUGAUUGUAACCUCUGACCACAGGCCCGGGGGUAGUCAUGAACCUCACCGUGGAGGAAUUUCAGGCAUCCAAAGAAGGAAGAGAUGGCCAUGCCAUUUUUGUGAGUGUUGUAGUAGUCAUUGUUUUGUUUGCAUUUGUCUGUUUAUAUAUAUAUAGUCGUACACUUAUUCAUAAUUAUCUUACUUCACAAGUAAAAAAGCACAAAACAUGUGCAACGUUCGGCCAUGCAAUACUCUCCAUCACAAAGGGGGAGUAUAAUUGCAUGGCUGAAUUUCUAAAAAUCCGUGGAAGCUUUGAGGGGAGCCAGUCAGCCCUCUUCUUUUUUAAUUCGAAGGGUGGGGUGUUCAAGGGCCUCCUCAAUGCUUUCAUGGCUGAAUGGGAGUUUGUGGGCCUCCCUAAACCGGCCCCAACUUUCAUGGCCUUGAGGACCUCUAUGUCGACUCAGAAAACCUUUUGGAUCCAGCUGCCCAUUCUGAGUUUGUGAGGGCCACUUCGGAGGUGCUUCCCAAAAUACUGCAAAAACUGCAUCAUGAUCAGAGGCAGCUGGACCUGUUCUUUGGUCUCCUCGGUGGGGUCAUGAUUGUAACCUCUGACCACAGGCCCAUGGGUAAUCAUGAACCUCACCGUGGAGGAAUUUCAGGCAUCCAAAGAAGGAAGAGAUGGCCAUGCCAUUUUUGUAAAAAAGCACAAAACAUGUGCAACAUUCGGCCAUGUGAUACUCUCCAUCACAAAGGGGGAGUAUAAUUGCAUGGCUGAAUUUCUAAAAAUCUGUGGAAGCUUUGAGGGGAACCAGUCAGCCCUCUUCUUUUUCAAUUUGAAGGGUGGGGUGUUCAAGGGCCUCCUCAAAGCUUUCACUGCUGCAUGGGAGUUUGUGGGCCUCCCUAAACCGGCCCCAACUUUCAUGGCCUUGAGGAACUCUAUGUCCACUUAGGUAACUGUACAUUUUGAUACACACACACACACACACACUGUCUCACUGUCAUACAUUCUCUCACACACACAAGCACACAAACACUUUCUCAAACAUACUCAUGCAUGUUUCUGUGAAUUUUGGGGACUUUCCAUAGUCUUCUGUUGUUUUGAUACUGACCAAACACCAUUUUUAUCCUCUAACCCAAUCCUUACAGAAAACCUGUUUGCAUUGUUACAUUUUCAGAUAAACUUCAUAUAGUAUUUUAUUUUUAUUUUUUUUCCCUCAUGGGGACCAAAGGCUGGACCCCACACAAUUAAAAAAGUUUCAGGUUUUAUUAUACUUAAGGAGACAUUGUGUUCAUCUUAAUGUGGUAUAAACAAGUGUGUGCAACACACACUCUCUCACACACACUUUGUCUCUCUCUCUCUCUUAACUCACACACUUUCUCUUUGUCUCUCUCUCUUAACUCACACACACGUUUAGGGUGCUUUUUUGGCAUUACAAAAAUCUAACAGGUACAAAAGUAGAAGUUAAUAAAAGUAAUACAGUAAACGGUAAGUAAUACGCUAAAAUAAAAAGCAUUAGUAAUAGUCAGCUGCAAAUAUGUCUUGACCCCAAAAAAAUUCUAUUAAGUGUGCAGGAGAUGGACUGGGGGUCACUUAUUGUCCCUCAUGAUGUGUCAGGUGAACACAUAUUCAGCUGCUAGAAUGAAGCAGGCUGCACAUUACACCAGUAAUACAAGCGGUUUCUCAUUGUUUGACAGAGGCUGGAAUCUCUGGUGUAAAUAUACAAAUGUAGAAUAAAAUGUUCCACAAUUUGUGAGUAUUUUAUAUAAAAAUGUCCAAUCCCACCCCAAUCACAAUAAAGACAAAAAUGUUAAUUUAUGGGUUGUCAUAUCCACACCAAGUUAAACCUUUCAUCUGAUCAAGCAGAAUGUUAACGCCAUCUUGAGCUUCACCAAGGUAUCUCUGGCUAAAACUAGAUAACGUUAAGCUGUGUUCACACCAAACGCGAACAGAGCGUCAAAUUCGCAUCUACCGCGUCUAGUUUGCCGCUUGACCAUUUUGAGAUCAUUCGCGCGUUAAAUUAACUUCACUACAGACGCGA